Molecule: ribosomal RNA, 1442 nt
Filed under: metagenome
Description: bacterial SSU rRNA
Rfam family: Bacterial small subunit ribosomal RNA
Source: RNAcentral
AGAGUUUGAUCCUGGCUCAGAACGAACGCUGGCGGCGUGGCUAAGGCAUGCAAGUCGAACGGACAUAUUUCAAGGGCAACUGCGAGGUAUGUUAGUGGCGAACGGGUGAGGAAUACAUGGAUAACGUACCCUAGACACGGGAAUAGCGGCGGGGCGAAAGCUCCUUUGCGAAAGUGCCGGUAAUACCCGAUGACCCCGCGGGAUCGCAUGGUUCUGCGGGCAAAUGCUCCGACGGUCUGGGAUCGGUUCAUGUCCUAUCAGCUAGUUGGUGGGGUAACGGCCUACCAAGGCGGCGACGGGUAGCGGGCGUGAGAGCGCGACCCGCCACAUCGGGACUGAGACACUGCCCGGACACCUACGGGUGGCUGCAGCAACGAAUAUUCCGCAAUGGACGCAAGUCUGACGGAGCGACGCCGCGUGUGGGAGGAAGUCCUUCGGGAUGUAAACCACUGUCAGGGGCAAGGAACAUUGACCAGCCCCAGAGGAAGCACCGGCUAACUCCGUGCCAGCAGCCGCGGUAAUACGGAGGGUGCGAGCGUUGUUCGAAAUUACUGGGCUUAAAGCGCGUGUAGGCGGGAAGGCAGGUGUCGGGUGAAAUCCCUCGGCUCAACUGAGGAACUGCCCGGCAAACUGCCUUUCUUGAGGCAGGGAGAGGUGACUGGAACGACGGGUGGAGCGGUGAAAUGCGUAGAUAUCCGUUGGAACGCCGGAGGCGAAAGCGGGUCGCUGGCCCUGUCCUGACGCUGAGACGCGAAAGCGUGGGGAGCGAACAGGAUUAGAUACCCUGGUAGUCCACGCCGUAAACGAUGCGCACUAGGUAUGGGGGGCUCUCACGCCAACCGUGCCGUAGAAAAAUUGAUAAGUGCGCCGCCUGGGGAGUACGGCCGCAAGGCUAAAACUCAAAGGAAUUGACGGGGGCUCACACAAGCGGUGGAGCAUGUGGAUUAAUUCGACGCGAAGAACCUUACCUGGGUUUGACAUGCACGGAUGCCCUCUUGGAAACAGGAGUAAGCUGCUUCGGUGAAACGUGCACAGGUGCUGCAUGGCUGUCGUCAGCUCGUGCUGUGAAGUGUCGGGUUAAGUCCCUCAACGAGCGAAACCCCUGUCGUUAGUUGCCAUCAGGUUAUGCUGGGGACUCUAACGAGACCGCCGGCGUCAAGCCGGAGGAAGGUGGGGACGACGUCAAGUCAUCAUGGCCUUUAUGCCCAGGGUUUCACACGUGCUACAAUGGUCGGUACAGAGCGAAGCGAGACCGCGAGGUGGAGCAAAUCGCACAAAGCCGGCCUUAGUUCAGAUCGGAGUCUGCAACCCGACUCCGUGAAGCUGGAAUCGCUAGUAAUCGCGCAUCAGCCAUGGCGCGGUGAAUGUGUUCCUGAGCCUUGUACACACCGCCCGUCAAGUCAUGGGAGCUGGGAGUACCCGAAGUCCGCUUAGCUAACUGC